Pelobates cultripes (western spadefoot toad) is the source of this 259-nucleotide non-coding RNA. Lineage: Eukaryota; Metazoa; Chordata; Amphibia; Anura; Pelobatidae. The record is from the annotation of a GenBank genome assembly.
CUAACACAACAGAUACACUGCAUACACUAACACAACACACACACUGCAUACACUAACACACACUGCAUACAAUAACACAACACACACACUGCAUUCACUAACACAACACACACACUGCAUUCACUAACACAACACACACACACUGCAUACACUAACACACACACACACUGCAUACAAUAACACACACACACACUGCAUACAAUAACACACACACACACACUGCAUUCACUAACACCACACACACACUGCAUUCACUAAC